CCUACGGGAGGCAGCAGUGGGGAAUAUUGGACAAUGGGCGCAAGCCUGAUCCAGCAAUGCCGCGUGAGUGAUGAAGGCCUUAGGGUCGUAAAGCUCUUUUACCAGGGAUGAUAAUGACAGUACCUGGAGAAUAAGCUCCGGCUAACUCCGUGCCAGCAGCCGCGGUAAUACGGAGGGAGCUAGCGUUGUUCGGAAUUACUGGGCGUAAAGCGUACGUAGGCGGUUAUUCAAGUCAGAGGUGAAAGCCCGGGGCUCAACCCCGGAACGGCCUUUGAAACUAGGUAGCUAGAAUCUUGGAGAGGUCAGUGGAAUUCCGAGUGUAGAGGUGAAAUUCGUAGAUAUUCGGAAGAACACCAGUGGCGAAGGCGACUGACUGGACAAGUAUUGACGCUGAGGUACGAAAGCGUGGGGAGCAAACAGGAUUAGAUACCCUGGUAGUCCACGCCGUAAACGAUGAUAACUAGCUGUUCGGGCACUUGGUGUCUGUAGUGGCGCAGCUACGACAUUAAGUUAUCCGUCCGUCGGGUAGGUACGGUCGCGAGAAGUUAAAACGUUAAAGUUAAGUAAGUUAGUAACGGUCGUGUUAGACGUGCCGAACGGACGACGACGAGGGAGGUUAGG
Molecule: ribosomal RNA, 621 nt
Filed under: uncultured bacterium
Lineage: Bacteria
Description: partial 16S ribosomal RNA
Rfam family: Bacterial small subunit ribosomal RNA (bases 1-519)
Source: RNAcentral